UUGAUUGAUUUAUAUUCAAUACUCCGACGCAAAGACGCAGGGUGUUUGAUUGGACCUCUGGGGGACUCCCGGGCUCGCGUCCGGGUCGCCCCCCGAGGCAACAGUUAUGAAUCGACAAAGGGUUGGAGGUUGGGCGCGAGGGCCCGCACUCGGUAAUGAUCCCUCCGCAGGUUCACCUACGGAGA
RNAcentral lists this unclassified non-coding RNA (185 nucleotides) under uncultured fungus. RNAcentral's name for it is "sequence contains ITS1". The record is from RNAcentral. Lineage: Eukaryota; Fungi.